This 216-nucleotide ribosomal RNA is filed under the name Glomeromycotina sp. RNAcentral describes it as "partial small subunit ribosomal RNA". The stretch from base 44 to 216 matches the Rfam family "Eukaryotic small subunit ribosomal RNA", at positions 690 to 864 of the family's 1831-position model. The record is from RNAcentral. Lineage: Eukaryota; Fungi; Glomeromycota.
GGGUCAGUAGGUUGGUCGUGCCACCGGUACGUACUGGUCUCACUGAUUCCUCCUUCCUGAAGAACCGUAAUGCCAUUAAUUUGGUGUUGCGGGGGAACAGGACUGUUACUUUGAAAAAAUUAGAGUGUUUAAAGCAAGCUAACGCUUGAAUACAUUAGCAUGGAAUAACGAAAUAGGACGAUCGAUCCCAUUUUGUUGGUUCCUAGGAUUGACGUA